GAUCAUGGCUCAGGACGAACGCUGGCUACAGGCUUAACACAUGCAAGUCGAGGGGCAGCAUUUUAGUUUGCUUGCAAACUAAAGAUGGCGACCGGCGCACGGGUGAGUAACACGUAUCCAACCUGCCGAUAACUCGGGGAUAGCCUUUCGAAAGAAAGAUUAAUAUCCGAUGGUAUAUUAAAACCGCAUGGUUUUACUAUUAAAGAAUUUCGGUUAUCGAUGGGGAUGCGUUCCAUUAGUUUGUUGGCGGGGUAACGGCCC
RNAcentral lists this ribosomal RNA (261 nucleotides) under uncultured bacterium. Its description in RNAcentral is "partial 16S ribosomal RNA". It matches the Rfam family "Bacterial small subunit ribosomal RNA", at positions 15 to 266 of the family's 1533-position model. The record is from RNAcentral.